UAAUACGGGGGGUGCGAGCGUUGUCCGGAAUCACUGGGCGUAAAGGGCGCGUAGGUGGCUUUGUAAGUUUGCGGUGAAAGCCCGGGGCUCAACCCCGGGUCUGCCGUGGAUACUGCAAGGCUUGAGUACUGUAGAGGCAGGUAGAAUAUCGGGUGUAGCGGUGGAAUGCGUAGAGAUCCGAUAGAAGACCGGUGGCGAAGGCGGCCUGCUGGGCAGUAACUGACACUGAGGCGCGACAGCGUGGGGAGCAAACAGG
This 256-nucleotide ribosomal RNA is filed under the name uncultured archaeon. RNAcentral describes it as "partial 16S ribosomal RNA". It matches the Rfam family "Bacterial small subunit ribosomal RNA", at positions 521 to 776 of the family's 1533-position model. The record is from RNAcentral.